Molecule: ribosomal RNA, 465 nt
Filed under: uncultured bacterium
Lineage: Bacteria
Description: partial 16S ribosomal RNA
Rfam family: Bacterial small subunit ribosomal RNA
Source: RNAcentral
CCUACGGGUGGCAGCAGUAGGGAAUCUUCCACAAUGGGCGAAAGCCUGAUGGAGCAACGCCGCGUGGGUGAAGAAGGUCUUCGGAUCGUAAAACCCUGUUGUUAGAGAAGAAAGUUCGUGUGAGUAACUGUUCACGUGUCGACGUUAUCUAACCAGAUAGCCUCGGCUAACUACGUGCCAGCAGCCGCGGUAAUACGUAGGUGGCAUGCGUUAUCCGGUUUUAUUGGGCGUAAAGGGGACGCAGGCGGUCUUUGAAGUCUGAUGUGAAAGCGUUCGGCUUAACCGGUGCAGUGCAUUGGAAACGGGGAGACUUGAGUGCAGGAGAGGAGAGUGGAACUCCAUGUGUAGCGGUGAAAUGCGUAGAUAUAUGGAAGAACACCAGUGGCGAAGGCGGCUCGCUGGACUGUAACUGACGCUGAGGUUCGAAAGCGUGGGUAGCAAACAGGAUUAGAUACCCUGGUAGUC